GCCGCUCGCCCAUCCGCCAGCGCCCGCAAGAAUCAGGUAAGGUCAGGAAACAGAGGCGGGUCCUGAGCUGGGACGUCGGCUAUCCAGGUAAAUUCUCGAGAGAGAAAUUACUGAGGAUGUAAACAUUUUAACGGCUCCUGACGACCAACUGACUGCCGUUUAACAAGGAGUGUUCUAGUGCACAAAGCUUCAGCAAGGCCCACCCAGAACAGUUUAAUCACCAUCUCCCCCAACAAAUGGCAUUAUCAAUAGAAUGAGACAGCCCGAGAAGGACUUGCCUGAAGCCACGAGCCUGUGCGUACCUUGUCGGCCCAGCUCCUGUGCCGGUGCGCCUUUGUGAAGCACCCCCGCUUCCUUCUCCUCCUGGAAGCGCGUCUGUAGCUGUUUGAUCUCCUGGUCAUAGUCCUGCCACUCUGGGACGAUUCGGACAGCGGCCUCCAGCUUGGGCUCUUUGGUCAUUGGAUUAUUACACUGUGAAAACCAAAAUAACAUACUUCAACUGAGCUGAAGGAAGGGUAUGUUACAGAGAAUUCCGAGGUGUUUCUGUUCUUGGGUUACAAGUCCUUACUGGACGAAAAGAACAACACUGAGGAAGCAGACGGUAUCAGCAGAAGCAGUGUGGUGGUGAGUGGGCUGUGCAAAGCUUCUGCAAAGAAGGGGUGGGGCGCUCCUGGAAGGCAGGAGAAGAAACGCUGGAAACGUUACAAGGCACAGAGUGAUCUGGAAGACCAGCGGUAACUUCACCGAUUCUAAGUAGUGAAAACAACCCCGUCACACACUGGAGGAUUUGGCUUCCUGCUGAGGUUGCUGUAAGCAGUUCUGCAGUCCCUGAACUGCACAGUUAAAGAGAAAGACUACAUUAUCUAGUCAUCCAUCAGACUGGACGAAGAAGCAGGAAAGAGCCACCGACAACUUACCAAAUCGAUUGUUUUCGCCCUUUUCUUAGAGGCAUCGUCACACCAUGUUUCACACCAAAGCCAUUCUUGAGGGAGUGAUUUAAUUGGCACCUGGUGGAUCAUGUUAUUGGGCAAAUCCUGUUCGGAAGAGAAGAUAAAACACAACAAUCUAAAGUUCUAGGGGAAUAAACAACAAGGUCCUACUGUAGAGCAGAGGGAACUAUAUUCCAUAUCCUGUGAUAAACCAUAAUGGAAAAGAAUAUGAAAAAGAAAAAAUAUACAUAUGUAUAACUGAAUCACUUUGAUGUACAGCAGAAAUUAACACAACAUUAUAAAUCAACUAUACUUCAAUAAAAUAUAAAAGAAAAUGUUUAGAAAUAAAGUCCUAGGGGAAAUUUAAAUAAAUGGCACAGCAAAUUAGCUGCUCAUUACAUAUCACAUGUCAAUCACAAAUUUUUAAAACAGAAAGGGUCCGUACCAAAAACCUUAGAGAAACUAAAAUAUUUAUUUACGGUGUUUUUAAAAACCACGAAGUUCAGAGGAUCCAUAAAACAUCUACCCAUAAUAAGCAUCUGAAAAACUUUAGCUUAAAACUCACAAAUAGCCUGCACCUAGAUUCCCUGCAUGAGGGCAAUUCUAAGAAAAACAGUACCGCCUUCUAAAAGCCAGUUAAGCAUCGAGUGUGGCUCUUGUACUUCAAGGUUUUGCUUAAAGGAAGCUCUGAAUCCACCUUGUCUACUGAGGCUUGAUCCCAAGUAGAUGAAGCCCACGUGCUUUCUAGCCAGCUGUACUCUAUGCUUUGAAGCUUUUCUCUCAGGAAAACUUGUGCGUUUGACACAAUAAAACGUUCCAUUGUCCAAAGACACAAACAACCAAUACGAUCCAAUAAUUUCACUUCUGGGUAUAUACACAAAAGAACUGAAAGCAGAGACUCAAACGGAUACUUGUACACCGAUGUUCAUAGAGGCAUUAUUCACAAGUCAAAAGAUGGAAAUAAGCCAAAUGUCCAUCAACAGAUGAAUAUCCAAACAAAAUGUAUAUACAUACAAUGAAAUAUUACUUGAUCUUAACAGGAAGAAAAGUUAGAUACAUGCUACAGCAUGGAUGAAUCUUGAAAACAUUAUGCUAAGUGAAAUAAAACAAACACAAAAGGAAAAAUAUUGUAUGAUUCCAAAAAUACCUGGAAUAAGCAAAUGCAUACUGACAGAAAAUAGAAUAGAGGUUACCAGGGGCUGGGGGCAGGAGAAAAGGGGAGUUAAGUGUUUAAUGGGUACAGAGUUUCUGUUUGGGACGAUGAAACAGUUCUGGAGAUGGACAGCUGCACACUGUGAAUGUACUUAAUGCCACUGAACAUUUAAAAAUAGUUAAAAUGGUAAAUUUUAUGUAUAUUUUACCACAGUAAAAAAUAAUCAAGGUAAAAUACAGGUACUUUCGGACAACAAAAACUGAAUUUGUUACUAGUGAACACUAAGUAAAGGACCUUCUUCAGGCCGAAGGAAAACGAUCCAAUAUGGAAGCCCAGAAAUGCAGGGAAGAAUGCAGAGUAACCAAAAGGGUAACUAUGUGAGUUAGUUCAAAUUUAAAUAGAUACUGACUAUAUUAAACAAGAAGAAUAACUUCUUCUGGGGUUUAAAAUAUAGACAGAUCUAAAAUACAUGGCAACAAGAUAUUUAGGUUGAGAUAAGGAUAAAUGGAGUAAUGAGUUCUAAGACACUGAUACUCAACAUGUAGUCUGUGGACUGGCAGCACAGAGUUUGCUAGGAAUGCAGAUUCUAAGGCCCAACCAUAUACCUACGGAAUCAGCCUGUGGGGGAUGGGGCCCAGGGAUUAAGGCUUUAAUAAGUUCUUCAGGUGAUUUUUUUAUAUAUGCUAAAAUUUGAGAAGAACUGUUCUGAUGUUUUUGCACUGUCUGGUAGAUGAGUAAAAUACACUAAUUAACAUUAGCCUUUGCAAAGUCAGAAAUGCAUACUGUAAUCUUUAGGCUAAUCAUUAAAAAAUUAUUUUAUAUGUAUAGUUUAAUAGAAAGAAAGUGGAAUUAUGAAAAAAUCCUCAAUCAAUCUGAAAGAAACUGACUAAGGAGAAAAAAGAAAUACAGGACAUAUGGAAUAAGCAGGAGGACUAUGGAGAAGCCAAACUUGCUGGUGAUUACAUUAACUAUAAAUGGACUAAUGUUCAAAUUAAAUGACUGUCACAACCACGUGAAAAAACAAACUGAUAUAAGCUAUUUAUAAGAAACAGAACUAAAACAUAAGGAUAAAGAAUGAUUGAGAACAGAAGGAUUAAAAAAAUAUACCAUGUAACACUAACUAAAAGGAAAACCAGCGUAGCUGCACUAAUACUAGAUGAUGCACACUUUAAGCCCCUGCCCAAAAAGCAUUCAUAGAGAUAAUAAAAGGUUAAUUUGUCAGACAUAUAUAUGACUUCUAAGUUUUUAGGUACUGAAUGAUACAGUCUCUAAGCACAUCAAGCAAAAUUUGACAAAACCAAAGACAAAGAAAGAUUUCACAACAUGGAAAGAGAUUUUAGCACAAUUCUCUCAGUAACUAAUAGAAAAACAGACAGACAAAACACACAUAACAACAUAUCACUAAACCUCACCUAAUGGACAUACAUAGAAAAACAUUACACCUAACAUCUGCAGAAUAUAAAACCAGUUGAAAUGUUUACCAAAACUAAUCAUACCUGGGUCAGCUCAACAAGCAAAGCUCAACAAACUUCAAAUGGCUGAGAUCAUACACAAUACUUUCUCAGACUAGAGCAACUGGGCUAGAACAAAAAAAACCCCUGGAAAAUCUCCAGGUAUAUAGUGAAAGAAACAGGAGGGGAAUUAAAAUAUCUAUUAAUGAAGGCAGUAAUGGAGGAACUGAGAAACACAAAAGACAUAUAGAAAACAAGUAGGAAAUUGGCAGAUGUAAAUCCUACCACACUAAUAAUUACAUUAAAUGUAAAGGGAUUAAACUCUCUAACUGAAAGCCACAUGGGCUGCCAGCUCACAUCUAUCAAUUUAACAGAUUAACAAUAAGUAUUACUCAAAAUUACAAAGAGCGUCAGGAAUUCUUACACUGCUGAUGGGAGUAUAAAUCAGAACUACUUUGGAAAACUGUUUGGAAUUAUCUAGUAAAGAUAAAGAUGGACCAAUCUGAUGACCCAGCAAUUCAACUUGUAGUUGCACACACAAUUGAAAUACGUAUACAUGUGCAUCAACCAACACAUGUGCAUAAACGAUGAUCACAGCAGCAUUAUCUGUAGAAGACAAAAAUGGAAAACAACCCAAAUGUACAAUAAACAAAACAUACUACCACUUCACACAACAACACAGAUGAAUCUCACUAACAUAACAUUAAGCAGAAGAAGUUAGACUCAAAAGAGUACAUCGUGUAUAAUCCCACUGAGACAGGCAGAAAAAAACAGGUAAAACUAUAGUGUUUAAGGAUACAUGUGUAAGUAGUAAUUCAAUACAGAAAAGCAAUGGAGUGAUUACCACAAAAGUCAGGAUGCUGGAUACUUCUGUUAAGAGGGUGGCUUCUGGGAUGCUAGUAAUGUUGUAUUUCUAAAACUGGGUGGUAGUACAUGGGCAUGUGCUUUGUGGUAAUUCCUUGGUGCAUAUGAAUAUGUAUAUAUUUAUAAAUUUUUGUUUUGUACACUCACUUUUCUUUAUGGGUGCUAUAUAUCACAAAUGCUUAAAAAUGUUUAAGGCAGACUUAAGCAAAACAAAAUAUGUGAAACUAUGUAUCUAAAACACAAACUAUAAUCUCACCUCUAAAAAAUGUUUAGCAUUAAUAAACAGUGACUCACCUAAACUUCUUAAA
This is a long non-coding RNA of Balaenoptera ricei (Rice's whale), 4705 nucleotides long. RefSeq lists it as uncharacterized. The record is from RefSeq and is a predicted model, not a curated record. The transcript is spliced from 3 exons. Lineage: Eukaryota; Metazoa; Chordata; Mammalia; Artiodactyla; Balaenopteridae.